GACGAACGCUGGCGGCGUGCCUAACACAUGCAAGUCGAACGGAACUGUUUUGAAAGAUUUCUUCGGAAUGAAUUUGAUUUAGUUUAGUGGCGGACGGGUGAGUAACGCGUGAGUAACCUGCCUUCAAGAGGGGGAUAACAUUCUGAAAAGAAUGCUAAUACCGCAUGAUAUAUCGGAACCACAUGGUUUUGAUAUCAAAGAUUUUAUCGCUUGAAGAUGGACUCGCGUCCGAUUAGUUAGUUGGUGAGGUAACGGCUCACCAAGACCGCGAUCGGUAGCCGGACUGAGAGGUUGAACGGCCACAUUGGGACUGAGACACGGCCCAGACUCCUACGGGAGGCAGCAGUGGGGGAUAUUGCGCAAUGGGGGCAACCCUGACGCAGCAACGCCGCGUGAAGGAUGAAGGUUUUCGGAUUGUAAACUUCUUUUAUUAAGGACGAAACUUGACGGUACUUAAUGAAUAAGCUCCGGCUAACUA
Molecule: ribosomal RNA, 478 nt
Filed under: uncultured bacterium
Lineage: Bacteria
Description: bacterial SSU rRNA
Rfam family: Bacterial small subunit ribosomal RNA
Source: RNAcentral